UACGUAGGUGGCAAGCGUUGUCCGGAUUUACUGGGCGUAAAGAGCGCGCAGGCGGUCGUUCAAGUCGCGUGUGAAAGCCCCCGGCUCAACUGGGGAGGGUCACGCGAUACUGAUCGACUCGAAGGCAGGAGAGGGUAGUGGAAUUCCCGGUGUAGUGGUGAAAUGCGUAGAGAUCAGGAAGAACACCGGUGGCGAAAGCGCUCUGCUAGGCCGCAACUGACACUCAUGGACGAAAGCUAGGGGAGCGAAUGGG
Molecule: ribosomal RNA, 253 nt
Filed under: uncultured bacterium
Lineage: Bacteria
Description: partial 16S ribosomal RNA
Rfam family: Bacterial small subunit ribosomal RNA
Source: RNAcentral